UAGGAUAUGGCUGAGUUAGUCAAGCAUCUCACUUACACCGAGAAGAUAUUCAUGCAAAUUGGAUUAUCCUGA
This 72-nucleotide transfer RNA is filed under the name Osteochilus hasseltii (silver sharkminnow). Its description in RNAcentral is "tRNA-Val". It matches the Rfam family "tRNA". From Rfam's summary of the family: Transfer RNA (tRNA) molecules are approximately 80 nucleotides in length. Their secondary structure includes four short double-helical elements and three loops (D, anti-codon, and T loops). The record is from RNAcentral. Lineage: Eukaryota; Metazoa; Chordata; Actinopteri; Cypriniformes; Cyprinidae.